RNAcentral lists this ribosomal RNA (497 nucleotides) under uncultured bacterium. RNAcentral's name for it is "partial 16S ribosomal RNA". It matches the Rfam family "Bacterial small subunit ribosomal RNA", at positions 28 to 507 of the family's 1533-position model. The record is from RNAcentral.
GAUGAACGCUGGCGGCGUGCCUAAUACAUGCAAGUCGAGCGAACAGACGAGGAGCUUGCUCCUCUGACGUUAGCGGCGGACGGGUGAGUAACACGUGGAUAACCUACCUAUAAGACUGGGAUAACUUCGGGAAACCGGAGCUAAUACCGGAUAAUAUAUUGAACCGCAUGGUUCAAUAGUGAAAGACGGUUUUGCUGUCACUUAUAGAUGGAUCCGCGCCGCAUUAGCUAGUUGGUAAGGUAACGGCUUACCAAGGCAACGAUGCGUAGCCGACCUGAGAGGGUGAUAGGCCACACUGGAACUGGGACACGGUCCAGACUCCUACGGGAGGCAGCAGUAGGGAAUCUCCCGCAAUGGGCGAAAGCCUGAAGGAGCAACGCCGCGUGAGUGAUGAAGGUCUUCGGAUCGUAAAACUCUGUUAUUAGGGAAGAACAAAUGUGUAAGUAACGAUGCACGUCUUGACGGUACCUAAUCAGAAAGCCACGGCUAACUACGUG